CGGACGGGUGAGUAACGCGUGAGAAUCUGCCCUCAGGAGGGGGAUAACAGUUGGAAACGACUGCUAAUACCCCAUAUGCCGAGAGGUGAAACGAAUUUCGCCUGGGGAUGAGCUCGUGUCUGAUUAGCUUGUUGGUGGGGUAAUGGCUUACCAAGGCUUCGAUCAGUAGCUGGUCUGAGAGGACGAUCAGCCACACUGGGACUGAGACACGGCCCAGACUCCUACGGGAGGCAGCAGUGGGGAAUUUUCCGCAAUGGGCGCAAGCCUGACGGAGCAACGCCGCGUGAGGGAUGGAGGCCUUUGGGCUGUAAACCUCUUUUCUCAAGGAAGAAGAUCUGACGGUACUUGAGGAAUAAGCCACGGCUAAUUCCGUGCCAGCAGCCGCGGUAAUACGGGAGUGGCAAGCGUUAUCCGGAAUUAUUGGGCGUAAAGCGUCCGCAGGCGGCCGUUUAAGUCUGUUGUUAAAUCGUGGAGCUCAACUCCAUCACGGCAAUGGAAACUGUUCGGCUUGAGUAUGGUAGGGGCAGAGGGAAUUUCCGGUGUAGCGGUGAAAUGCGUAGAUAUCGGGAAGAACACCAGUGGCAAAAGCGCUCUGCUGGGCCAUUACUGACGCUCAUGGACGAAAGCCAGGGGAGCGAAAGGGAUUAGAUACCCCUGUAGUCCUGGCCGUAAACGAUGAACACUAGAUGUUGGGGGAAUCGACCCCCUCGGUGUCGUAGCUAACGCGUUAAGUGUUCCGCCUGGGGAGUACGCACGCAAGUGUGAAACUCAAAGGAAUUGACGGGGGCCCGCACAAGCGGUGGAGUAUGUGGUUUAAUUCGAUGCAACGCGAAGAACCUUACCAAGGCUUGACAUCCUGCGAAUCUCCAAGAAAUUGGAGAGUGCCUUUUGGAACGCAGUGACAGGUGGUGCAUGGCUGUCGUCAGCUCGUGUCGUGAGAUGUUGGGUUAAGUCCCGCAACGAGCGCAACCCACGUUUUUAGUUGCCAGCAUUUAGUUGGGCACUCUAGAAAGACUGCCGGUGACAAACCGGAGGAAGGUGUGGACGACGUCAAGUCAUCAUGCCCCUUACGCCUUGGGCUACACACGUACUACAAUGCUGCGGACAAAGAGUAGCGAUCUUGCGAAAGUUAGCUAAUCUCGUAAACCGUGGCUCAGUUCAGAUCGUAGGCUGCAACUCGCCUACGUGAAGGAGGAAUCGCUAGUAAUCGCAGGUCAGCAUACUGCGGUGAAUACGUUCCCGGGCCUUGUACACACCGCCCGUA
RNAcentral lists this ribosomal RNA (1264 nucleotides) under uncultured bacterium. RNAcentral describes it as "bacterial SSU rRNA". It matches the Rfam family "Bacterial small subunit ribosomal RNA", at positions 99 to 1398 of the family's 1533-position model. The record is from RNAcentral.